Molecule: ribosomal RNA, 478 nt
Filed under: uncultured bacterium
Lineage: Bacteria
Description: partial 16S ribosomal RNA
Rfam family: Bacterial small subunit ribosomal RNA
Source: RNAcentral
GAUGAACGCUGGCGGCGUGCUUAACACAUGCAAGUCGAACGGGAAUUAUUUUAUUGCAACUUCGGUCGAUAUGAUUUAAUUCUAGUGGCGGACGGGUGAGUAACGCGUGGGUAACCUGCCUUGUACAGGGGGAUAACAGUCAGAAAUGGCUGCUAAUACCGCAUAAGCGCACAGAGCUGCAUGGCUCCGUGUGAAAAACUACGGUGGUAUAAGAUGGACCCGCGUUGGAUUAGCUUGUUGGCAGGGUAACGGCCUACCAAGGCGACGAUCCAUAGCCGGCCUGAGAGGGUGAACGGCCACAUUGGGACUGAGACACGGCCCAGACUCCUACGGGAGGCAGCAGUGGGGAAUAUUGCACAAUGGGGGAAACCCUGAUGCAGCGACGCCGCGUGAAGGAAGAAGUAUCUCGGUAUGUAAACUUCUAUCAGCAGGGAAGAGAUUGACGGUACCUGACGAAGAAGCCCCGGCUAACUACGUG